Molecule: ribosomal RNA, 483 nt
Filed under: uncultured bacterium
Lineage: Bacteria
Description: partial 16S ribosomal RNA
Rfam family: Bacterial small subunit ribosomal RNA
Source: RNAcentral
GAUGAACGCUAGCGGCAGGCCUAAUACAUGCAAGCCGAACGGCAAGUCUGAUAGCAAUAUUGGACCUAGAGUGGCGCAAGGGUGCGUAACACGUAUGCAACCUGCCCGCGACAGGAGGAUAGCUCCCCGAAAGGGGAAUUAACCCUCCAUAACACCAUGAGAAGGCAUCUGAUUAUGGUUAAACCGCAAGGGGUCGCGGAUGGGCAUGCGGUUGAUUAGCUAGUUGGCGGGGUAAAGGCCCACCAAGUCGGUGAUCAAUAGGGGUUGUGAGAGGAAGGUCCCCCAAACUGGCACUGAGAUACGGGCCAGACUCCUGCGGGAGGCAGCAAUAGGGAAUAUUGGACAGUGGUUGCAAGACUGAACCAGCCAUGCCGCGUGCAGGAAGAAGGCCUUCUGGGUCGUAAUCUGCUUUUACCUAUAGAUAAAAUACCCGUGCGCGGGGAAUUGAAGGUAACAGGGGAAUAAGCCACGGCUAACUACGUG